Molecule: ribosomal RNA, 270 nt
Filed under: unidentified soil organism R6-107
Description: partial 16S ribosomal RNA
Rfam family: Bacterial small subunit ribosomal RNA
Source: RNAcentral
GUGCCAGCAGCCGCGGUAAUACGGGGGGGGCAAGCGUUGUUCGGAUUUACUGGGCGUAAAGGGCGCGUAGGCGGCCUCUGCAAGUCGACUGUGAAAUCUCCGGGCUUAACCCGGAACGGUCAGCCGAUACUGCAGGGCUAGAGUGCAGAAGGGGCAACUGGAAUUCUCGGUGUAGCGGUGAAAUNCGUAGAUAUCGAGAGGAACACCUGCGGCGAAGGCGGGUUGNUGGGCUGACACUGACGCUGAAGUGCGAAAGCUAGGGGAGCGAAC